Molecule: transfer RNA, 67 nt
Filed under: Balaenoptera borealis (sei whale)
Lineage: Eukaryota; Metazoa; Chordata; Mammalia; Artiodactyla; Balaenopteridae
Also listed under: 2 other names
Description: tRNA-Val
Rfam family: tRNA
About the family: Transfer RNA (tRNA) molecules are approximately 80 nucleotides in length. Their secondary structure includes four short double-helical elements and three loops (D, anti-codon, and T loops).
Source: RNAcentral
CAAGAUAUAGCUUAAACAAAGCAUCUAGUUUACACCUAGAAGAUUCCACAGUCCGUGUAUAUCUUGA